Molecule: RNA transcript, 1252 nt
Organism: Lethenteron reissneri (Far Eastern brook lamprey)
Lineage: Eukaryota; Metazoa; Chordata; Hyperoartia; Petromyzontiformes; Petromyzontidae
Source: RefSeq, a predicted model, not a curated record
CCCCGCCCCUCCCCCCAGCUUCCGCGCCCCGCCCCCCAGCGCGGCGAAGGAGACUUCGGGGUCGCAGCGCCACGCGGGGACGCCCCGAGCAGGUUCUCGUCGCUGCCAUGGCAUUCCGCGACGCGUGGAAGCGGUACCGCGUGCUCAUCGUGAUGGGCGCUGGCCUCGUGUCAGUCCACUUCGGCUGGUACCGUCUGCAGGACAACCCCGCGUUCCGGGGGUACGGCGUCAAGGACGGCCCGCAGCCACGCGGCCUCACAGAGCACCCGAGCGGUGUGGGCGGCCUGCCCUCGGCGAAGCCGUCCACCUAGCGGAGGCGGCAGAGCGACGUCCACCCGACGUCCACCCGCGUCGGUACGGCAACCGACACCGCCCACGAGGGGCUUUGAAGCGCGCCCGAGGGUCGUGGUGGCGGUGGUGAGGAAAAACGUGGAGCGGAGCGACCCGAGGGGGAACUGGAGCGGGGAGCUGUCGGCAAAACCUGGACUGCUGUAGCGCAGGAGGGAAGGCUCGGAGCGGCGUUCAUCUUGCGGCGGACCAGGCGGUGGAGAGGAUGUGGAGACGUGACGCUCCCACACAAGUGGGGACGCCUCUCCGGGUUAAGACUUUUGUUGUUUCAACCGGAAACAAUCUGCGCUGCAACACUGCGUACUCGUGGGCUCUCCGUGGCUGGCUUUUUCAUGACUUUGGGGUGACAUUCUUGUAAAGGCUUCCUAAACGUUGUUUUGAUGCCAUCUAAAGUAAUCCAGCCGUGUUGACUUGUUGGCCUAUAACAAGGCUGCGCGCACUACAGCGGCGGUAUGGUGAUGUUACGUGGCGUGCAAGGUAUGAUGGGAAGACUAAUUCUAUUUAUUGGUCGCACUCGCACCUUUUGCCAUCUACAAAUCGCCUUUUGCGUGUACUAUUAUCACUUUUCCGACGUUGGAUUAUAAGAUGUGGUUUAUAUUGGGUUGCAGCCGCCCUUUUAAAGCAUCCAGAAACAAAUAUUCGUGGGUGUUGGUCAUUUUUUUUUAUAUUUGCUCUAUGAUAUUUUGAGGGAUUGGCACAGAAACUGAAAAAUAUAGGUUGGUGAAUUUCCAAAUCUGCGGUCGUGUUUGGAUUCCAGUCCCCUUUCCAACCUCUCGACAUUGUUGUUGGCCGAGGUUCAAAGAAAGUUCACCGUUUCUAACCCCCACUUUCUUGGCCCAUGGUGAAACAUGUUGACUUUCAGACUGUUGUUCCAGAUAUAACCAAUAAACUUGACUUCAGUCAA